GGUUGCUGUUGAUAAGCCCGUGCGGCAACUCCGCACACACGAGUGAAAAGGGGGGAAAAAACUCACCCCUCCACAUGGCAAUCGCAAUCAGGUAUCGUGGCCAAAACAUUUUCACAGCCAAGGCAAAGGAAGGCAUCUCCAUUUGGGAGGGCAAGCAACCUCUUCUUUCGAUGAACACAUGAGAAAGCAGGGGUUUUCUCCGGCCUGUUUUGGCGCCGCCGUCGUUCUCUGGGUCUCCUGAAAAAGGCAGCGCCGCGGCGCGCUUUCAACGUGGCGCCGGGUGCCUGGCGCCGUCCGGAUGUAACGACGACAGGCCGACGGCGACCGGAGCAUCUUGUUUCUGGUGGCUCGCCGGUGGAGACGACGGCGAGGCCGUUUUCCUUUGUCCAGCCGGGCGAAGUCUUGGAGAUAUAUAAAGUUUGGUUGAUGCACGAUGGAGCAGUCUUCAGAGUUUACGUCUGCGCUACGCCAAAGCGUGAUCACGCAGGUGUGGCUUGCAAAUCCGGAUUGAAUCUUCUAAAAACACCUAGUGCCUGAAUCUUAGGCCAAUUUGGGCAAAAGAAAUUCAGAUCCGUCAAGUUUAUCAUGAAGGUAUCCUGUGGCGAAGAAGAAGAUUCAGUCAACAGAGAAAUCUUAUUACUUCAGGGGGGGUUACACACACACGCACUUCCUCUGCAAUAAUUCAAUUUCUUAUUCCCCUUGAUCCACUGAACGAUGCACAAACUGUUCCAGGACAGCCAUGAGCAAUGGGCGUGCAUUUCCAGCAUCAGUGAGCAGCUAGUUGAGCUCAUGUCAUGUCGUGUCCACCUCAGAUGCUUGCUAGGUUGCUGUUUAGAUCCCUCUUGCUCCCUCGUAGUAAGUACCCUUCCUAUCCUGUGAACGCCAAUCACGUUGACCUCUUCUCUAAGUGUCAAUUUAACAUUUCUUCACCCUCUCCGAUCUAUCAAGGCCCAACUGGGCCAAGGUCAGGUACAUAUCACAGAGCUGUGACAUGGAGCCGGGACUAAAAAAAAGGGCAUCUUCAUUUCUUUCCUAGAAAAAAUGUAAUAGUACUUACCGUGAUGCAAGCAAUCCAGUAUCAACGCCAUAGAAAAUUAGUUAUUUUCUGGCUUUACCAAGUCAAAUGCAGCUGUCCGUGCCUGUAAGACCACUUGUUUUGUUUAUGAUCUGCUGUCUGGUUCGGUGACCGCCCAAAUUUCUUAUGCUCACCAAUUUUAUUUUAUUUUUUGCGAGAAAACAGAGAGCGUAUGGUCACCAUGACGCCAGCUGCAACAAUGAUGCCGUCAUUUUAUUUUAAUGCUUCUGAGUUCAGUUUGUGUUUAACAGUUUUAUUUGCCUUGCUUCACCUUCCUGUUUGGCUUUUCAGUGUCUUAUGGGGUGCAUUUCUUUUAGUGGUACAGUGUUGUUUUGAAAAGUUUCAGUAAUGCUUGCGCAGUUGUGCAGAUAGGUAGACCUGUUGUUUGACAAGCUGUAAGAUGAAAAAAAAAUGCUUAUCCCUUAACAGAUGGAAGUAUACAUACUACAUCAUGUUCUAUAAAAAUUGGGGUUAGGAUUGAUCGAA
Panicum hallii is the source of this 1561-nucleotide long non-coding RNA. RefSeq lists it as uncharacterized. The transcript is spliced from 2 exons. The record is from RefSeq and is a predicted model, not a curated record. Lineage: Eukaryota; Viridiplantae; Streptophyta; Magnoliopsida; Poales; Poaceae.